Molecule: long non-coding RNA, 4703 nt
Organism: Harpia harpyja (harpy eagle)
Lineage: Eukaryota; Metazoa; Chordata; Aves; Accipitriformes; Accipitridae
Exons: 6
Source: RefSeq, a predicted model, not a curated record
UGUGCCCACUGCUAACCACCCGUGCUAGCCCCACGCUAAAUCUUGACAUCCCAUCCUUCCACCUGCAGAGCAGCUUCUGCCGUGUCUCACCGUGACUGCAAGCCGUCAGCUUCCUCCGGCAAAGGACCUGCCCACCAGGAACAGCUUUGCCCCCAUUCCCUGGAAGCAGUUCCAGCCUUGCCCUGCAUUCUGCAGGCCUGGGAAGAAGAACACAAGGCACUGCAAUUUGCCCCCUUCUCAAGGAGUGAAUAACAUGAGGUACUACAGGAGGAUCCACAGAGUAACAAUUCUUGCAGGGGCUUAAAGGAACGAUCCACAUAGCCUCUGUAAAGAGCCCGUUUCUGAUUGUCCUGCUCCCACCACUGCAGAUGGUGGUGAUAGUCCAUGAAGCUUUCAAUCUGCACAAAAAAGCAUCAGGAGAAAUUAAAGUUCUUCAGGCUGGAACUGCUGCUGCAGAAUAUGAUCGACCCAUCCAACACCAGCAGCUGCUUUUAGCCUUUGGAGAUUGAAGUGUGUGUAAGGGGACACGGAUUUCAGAAAUGAAAACAGCCUGCAGUUUAUGCCAAGAUGACAGAAAGUGACACACCGUGACCUCUAUCCUGCCAGGAGGAGGCUGGGACUUGAUGCAGACUUUUGGAUUUUGAACAAGCACUCAGGUACUGUGGUGAUUAUUUCACAUUGAUUACUUGUUUUUACUGCUGAUACUAUUUUCCCUGAUGGGUUAACUUUUUCCCAUCCAUGUGCCUCUUCCAUCAAGGUAGAUCAUUAAACAAUUAAUUUAGUAUGUUUGAGGGCUGUUGUUUUGUUUUGGGGUUGUUUUUUUCUUUCCCAGAAAUACAUUUAAUUCACCAUGCAUUAAAGUGUGCAGCAGAAAUCACAGUGCAAUUUCAGGAGAAAUUAUGCAGGGAACAGGCAAGAAUUGCACAUUAUUUAUAUCACACAGAACUUGAUAACAACUUAUUAUUCCUCACUCUCAGAGGAGCAAACUGAGCCAUGAGAAGUGAUUGCUGAGAUAUUCCGAUGCUUCUGCAGGCACAAUGAUGUGAGUGUUUCCAAUAUGGCUCAGCAUACUGUCUUCACUUACAUUUAAUGCCAAUGCCAAGCACACGACAUGAGGGCACUAAAGUCCUUUCAGAUGUUGAUGACUCACACUCUUUAAAUACGUCACAUGCCCGGACAUAUCCACCUUCCCAUAGAAGGCACCAAAUGCCAUUAGAUGAAGCAGAUGUUCCUAGCCAACCUGACUAUGACCGCAAAGUGACCCUCAUCUAUUUUGGAUUUAUCAAAUCAUCAAAGGCUCCUGCUCCUGCCAAUGAGACUUGGGGCAGGCGAUUCAACGAGGUCAUUAUAUAAUGACAAGCUGCCUGAGCCAACUGAGGCAGAAAAUGCUGCCUCCAGGGCAGCUGGGCUGUUCCUGAGAGAAGAGGAGCCCACAGGAGCCGAGGCAACCACAGAACAGGCAGUGUCCUCUCCGACCAGGGUGCUGACCCACCACAUCUGAGAAGAGGGACCCUGGUGAGUGUGACAGCCAUCAACCAGCUGGUGACCAUCGGACAAGGUGAACAAGUCAGACGUGGGGGUCCAUCCAGGAAGACCAUUCGGGAACAGUGGGAGGAAGGGAUGGGGACCUGACUGGAGCAUAGAUCUGGGGUCCCUCCAGAAAUUCCCAUCAGGAAGCCAAGACAGAAGGAAACAGAGCAACCCCCAACAUGUCUCAGCCAGGACUGGGGACCUGUGCUGAAAAGAGGCUCCUUGUCCAUAGGCAGGGGAUGCAUGGGUGGUGAUGGCAACAGAGGCAUUUGGGUGCCCUUAUGGCCCUGGCAGCACCCUUCCCCUUUCAAAGGGCCGUAAAUACCAAGGCUAGCCAGCCAGCUUCCAGGGUGCUUUCGUGGUGUACAUACACCAGAACACAGGUAAUCACAAACAUCUAGAGGGUAGCACCUUCAGUCAACCAUGUACCACAUCAUACCAAAUCAUAUACCAGAUAUCAACCAUAGCUUCAAGAACAGAGAUUAAAGCAAAGAAAGUUCACUCAGUCUUUGCACUUUUAUUCCAACAAAAUCCUGGAAUCCCAAAACCUAGCAGUACAGCAGUUUACCAUAGACAACCCAUAGCCCGCUUACUAAGAAAAGAUGCCAGAGCUGCAAUCACAUAAGUACUAAUAAUGUCAAAAUAACAAUGUGGAAUACAGAGCAGACUGUACUCCCAGAUAUUUACUCAGUAACCUAUCAGGAGCUUUACAUAAUGAAAUACAUUGUGAAACAAGAGGUUAGUAAUGAAUAAAACUAGCUGACAAAGAAGUAUUGUAGCAGUUUAUUAGAAAUGUGGACUGUGUCAAGUCCUUUACUGUAACCAUGAAUGGAAUAAUUUCUGUAGCUAUGAAAGAGCAAUCGGAGCAGAUGACUGCACAGAAAAGACUCUCUUUAUGGAGUGCUCAGGCACUAAGAACUGCUCAGCCAACAGCCCUUUUCUGCUUGGGUGCCAUUUCCAAGUGCUUUAUGUUUUGCCGUCAGAGACUUACACAAUCAAAGCCUAGAAUGAAGAUGAUGGUGUCUGUUCCACUUCAGUCACUCUUGAGGAUGAACCUCAUCUUGAAUGGAAAACAGAAAUAGACUCACCAAAAAGUUACAGAAAAUCAGACUGGAAGUGACCUCAAGAGUACAUCUAAUCCUUCUCCCCACUGAACCAUAUCCAAGCCAUGCCUGACAGGGGAUUUCCUCAGAUGGAGCUCCCACAGUCUUUCACAGGUACAGAGAGAGGGUACUGAAGAAGAGCUGUUUUUGGAGCCCAAUCCUGCUGCGAUGGCAAUGGGGGACUGAAUCCUGUUGACACAAGGAGUCAGCCUGACCUCUGAGGCGGUGACCUCAGAAAAGCAGGUGCAUUUGAUGAACUCCAUGCCACAGGAUGUUGCAGAUGCUGAAAGCUUAUAUGGAUUCAAGGAGAGGCAGGGCAAGUUCACAGAUCAGAAAUACUUUCAGGCUAUAAAUUCAGAGAAACAUCUCCAGGUCAGGCAGUCUCUGAGCUGCAAAUGAUUGGAAGCAGGGAGAGUACCCAGGGAAGUAUCAUGUAUCAUGCACCCUGGUUUUAUAUUCUUUCCUAAACAUCUCCUUUUGACGGCCAUCAGGGACAGGACAGAGAGCUAGAGAGCCAUGUGGUACGACCCCAUUCAGUGCUCUUUUAGUCUGGUUUUUUAUGUCCUAAAUUUACAACAUACGACUAGUCCCCGUUAAGUCUGUGCAAGUUGUUCAACAGUCAGAGUGGAACAGUAUGUGCAGCUAUAUGCAUACCUCCAUUGAUAAACUGAACCGCAUCAAGACUUUUAGGUAACUGGCUCACUGUGAACACCAGCAGGAAUUUGGCAUGAUCUUCCACCACAGAGACCGGCUACCACCAAGCAGCCGCUGCUGGUGAUGCAGCAGCUCUCAUUUCAAUGCUCUGGUGAGGCAUGGUGCCUUGAGAGCUACUGUCUGCCUGAAGGUGAUGAACCAGUCAAGAGACGUAACUCAGUGCAGUACGAGGCACUUCAGGAACCCUGCAGCACCACUGCUCCAGACGCGGGAGAGGAGCGGGAUCCCCCCGUUGGUAUGAGGCAGCAGCUCUUGCUCUCUGCUAAGUUCAGAAACAUCCCCGUUUUCCACUCUGCAGGGCAGAGACCUUAUAACGCAACUGCCAUGUUAGGGAAACCAAAGAAACAACGAUAAUACAUUGCCUAUUGGAGCAUAUUAACAUGCCCCACAGCAGUCUCAUUAUGACUGUUAAACAUUUAGUCAAGAGACUGAAAUAAAUGUCUUUUUUAUUCAUAGCUUCCCCUGCAGCCUCUCUGCUACUUCCAGCCCCUCCUACCAGCACAGGAACCGGAGUGGUUCAAUAGUCCAACAGUCAAACAAUGCUGUCAACUGCCUACUUUCAAAUUAAAUUAAGCUUCUCUAAUGCUUCUAAUUUAAUGUAUUAAUGCACACAACAAAAGCAAAGCUUUUUGGUUUGGCUUUUCUCUGAUUGAUGUGGUCCUGUGCUUCAAAAUCUUUUCUGAGAGGCUGAGGUAGCUUUUAAAUUUUACUUUCAACCGAUAAGUAAAUAAACAGAUUUGAAUACUGAUCACUUUCUAGCACCAUGAUUUUGAAUUUAAAGAAACUACUAUUUUAAAGGUGACUGGUUAAAGGUGAAGAACUCUAAAAACUGGACAUGUCAGUAAAACAUCUCAGCUAUGUUUCAUCCUUUGUCUCCAUUUUAGGCAACAUGAGGGAGAAUCUGUAACUUACAUCACGCUAUUAGGAUCUGGCCCUGUGCGAAUCAAUAAAGACCGCAUGACUUUACUCCACACUCCAGUCCAAAGCCUUAACUACUCGCUAGACAGCCUGUAAUUUCAGCAAGGAAAGAGAGCGCCUGCAGGUGUUGAAUUAAUGCACCAUGAAAGCAGAACUCUGCUGUGUUGCAAUGGAGCUAAAAUCAGGCUUCUCUGGUAUUGUUGACAGUAUUCAGCUCCCAGUGUAUUUCUGACUUUGGAUACAUAGCCUACCUAGUAAUUUUGUCACAUCUUGAAAGUAGAGCAGGGGAAAAAAUCCAUUUAGACUCUAACAGCCAUAGGUCAUAUUUACCAUUCGCUAACAGACUGCUGUGUUGUGAAUGGAGCCUGCUUCUUCAGUCCCACAACACAGAAGGUUUCUCUUGCAUCACUAAAACUAUUAGAAAGGAACUCAAUAACA